This 561-nucleotide ribosomal RNA is filed under the name Penicillium cf. chrysogenum NBBC01-45-50-M3. Its description in RNAcentral is "eukaryotic LSU rRNA". The stretch from base 182 to 334 matches the Rfam family "5.8S ribosomal RNA". Lineage: Eukaryota; Fungi; Ascomycota; Eurotiomycetes; Eurotiales; Aspergillaceae. The record is from RNAcentral.
CAUUACCGAGUGAGGGCCCUCUGGGUCCAACCUCCCACCCGUGUUUAUUUUACCUUGUUGCUUCGGCGGGCCCGCCUUAACUGGCCGCCGGGGGGCUUACGCCCCCGGGCCCGCGCCCGCCGAAGACACCCUCGAACUCUGUCUGAAGAUUGUAGUCUGAGUGAAAAUAUAAAUUAUUUAAAACUUUCAACAACGGAUCUCUUGGUUCCGGCAUCGAUGAAGAACGCAGCGAAAUGCGAUACGUAAUGUGAAUUGCAAAUUCAGUGAAUCAUCGAGUCUUUGAACGCACAUUGCGCCCCCUGGUAUUCCGGGGGGCAUGCCUGUCCGAGCGUCAUUGCUGCCCUCAAGCACGGCUUGUGUGUUGGGCCCCGUCCUCCGAUCCCGGGGGACGGGCCCGAAAGGCAGCGGCGGCACCGCGUCCGGUCCUCGAGCGUAUGGGGCUUUGUCACCCGCUCUGUAGGCCCGGCCGGCGCUUGCCGAUCAACCCAAAUUUUUAUCCAGGUUGACCUCGGAUCAGGUAGGGAUACCCGCUGAACUUAAGCAUAUCAAUAAGCGGAGGAA